Molecule: transfer-messenger RNA, 354 nt
Filed under: Alphaproteobacteria bacterium
Lineage: Bacteria; Pseudomonadati; Pseudomonadota; Alphaproteobacteria
Rfam family: Alphaproteobacteria transfer-messenger RNA
About the family: Bacterial tmRNA, also known as 10Sa RNA or SsrA, is named for its dual tRNA and mRNA-like properties.
Source: RNAcentral
GGGCUUUCCCCGCAGUUCGUAUGCGCUUAUAUUGGGAACGUCGGCGCAAGCCGGCUAUGGCGAUAAAUGGCCGUCGCAAUAAACCCUUCGGACCCGGGGGCGGUACCCGGCGCCUCCACCCAAGCCCGGCGCGGCCGGGUUUGGGCGGGGGCGAAACAGGAUCGACGAGGGCGUAAAGGGCGCGCUUUUGCUCGGCAUGGUUCCGCCGUUAUCGGGCCACGGCAAUAGUUGCAAACGACAACUAUGCUCCGGUUGCUCAGGCCGCGUAACGCGGUUUGAAAGACCGAUCGAAGCCCUGACGUCUUAGCAGCGUCAGGCGGGGUCCGGGGGCACCUGGCAACAGAAGCCCCCACC